AUCUACUGGGCAAAGCAAGUCACAAGGGCAGUCCAGAUUCAGGGGUGGGAAAAUAAGCUCCACCUCUUAGUGGGAGGGGCCUCAAAGAACAUGUGGACAUUUUUAACCCAACUCAAUAUGCUUAUAGCAUUAGGUGAUGCCCUCUGUUCUGCAUGUCUACAUCCUUUUUUUUUUUUUUUUUAAGAGAUAGAGCCUCACACCGUUGCCUAGUAUAGAGUGCAGUGGCACAAUCACAGCUCACCGCGUGGUGAGGGUCUGCACCAGGAGCACAGUUCUACGGGGAAGAGGAGAGUCAGGCUGAAGAGACAUUUCUGUGGAAGAAUCAUCUGAAUUUUAUAGGGAAGAAGGUGAGGGAAAUAAGAGAAAUAAAGAAGAACACUACGGUUUCCAGCUCUGAAGUGCAAGUAGACAGGAAUGCCAUUAGAUGGGGUCCGGCGUUUAGAAGAACUGACUUGGAGACAAAUGAGGAGGCAUUUCCUCUCGGACAUGUGGAGUUUGAGAUAUCAAUGAGACACCAGGGUGGAUUUGUCCACAUAAUAGUUGGAAAUGUGGAUUUGAAGCUUACGAAGUAGGUAAAGAGCCCUAAAUGUAAAGACAUCCACCAAGAGAUGGUAGCGGAAGCCAUGGCAGUAAAUGAGGUGACUGGGCAUCACGCAGAGUCCUAGUUCUCAGACUCCGAGGUGCACAAGAAUCAUCUAUGAAGGCUGCAGAAGGUGCACUCCUUGAAUCUCUCCCCAGGGAUUCUGAUCCAAGAGGACAGGGAUGUGGCAAAGUGGUGAAUAUUUGUAACCAGUAGUCUACAACCAUAUUCUUAAGAAACACAGAUGUAGACAGAACACAAGGAAUUAUCUGAGAUAAUUGCAGAGAG
Molecule: long non-coding RNA, 868 nt
Filed under: Homo sapiens (human)
Lineage: Eukaryota; Metazoa; Chordata; Mammalia; Primates; Hominidae
Description: non-protein coding lnc-FZD8-3:1
Source: RNAcentral